GCAUAUCAAUAAGCGGAGGAAAAGAAACCAACAGGGAUUACCUCAGUAACGGCGAGUGAAGCGGUAACAGCUCAAAUUUGAAAGCUAGCUCUUCUAGGGUUCGCAUUGUAAUUUGUAGAAGAUGCUUCGGGUGUGGCCCCGGUCUAAGUUCCUUGGAACAGGACGUCAUAGAGGGUGAGAAUCCCGUAUGUGACUGGGUGCUUUCGCUCAUGUGAAGCUCUUUCGACGAGUCGAGUUGUUUGGGAAUGCAGCUCAAAAUGGGUGGUAAAUUUCAUCUAAAGCUAAAUAUUGGCCAGAGACCGAUAGCGCACAAGUAGAGUGAUCGAAAGAUGAAAAGCACUUUGGAAAGAGAGUUAAACAGUACGUGAAAUUGUUGAAAGGGAAGCGCUUGCAACCAGACUUGCGCGCUGAUGAUCAUCCGGGCUUCUGUCCGGUGCACUCGUCUGCGCUCAGGCCAGCAUCGGUUUCGGUGGUGGGAUAAAGGCCUUGGGAAUGUAGCUUCUUUCGGGGAGUGUUAUAGCCCUCGGUGCAAUGCCGCCUACCGGGACCGAGGACCGCGCUUCGGCUAGGAUGCUGGCGUAAUGGUUGUAAGCGACCCGUCUUGAAACACGGACCAAGGAGUCUAACAUCUAUGCGAGUGUUUGGGUGUCAAACCCAUACGCGUAAUGAAAGUGAACGGAGGUGAGAACCCUUAAGGGUGCAUCAUCGACCGAUCCUGAUGUCUUCGGAUGGAUUUGAGUAAGAGCAUAGCUGUUGGGACCCGAAAGAUGGUGAACUAUGCGUGAAUAGGGUGAAGCCAGAGGAAACUCUGGUGGAGGCUCGCAGCGGUUCUGACGUGCAAAUCGAUCGUCAAAUUUGCGUAUAGGGGCGAAAGACUAAUCGAACCAUCUAGUAGCUGGUUCCUGCCGAAG
RNAcentral lists this ribosomal RNA (911 nucleotides) under Cadophora dextrinospora. RNAcentral's name for it is "partial large subunit ribosomal RNA". It matches the Rfam family "Eukaryotic large subunit ribosomal RNA", at positions 38 to 966 of the family's 3401-position model. The record is from RNAcentral. Lineage: Eukaryota; Fungi; Ascomycota; Leotiomycetes; Helotiales; Ploettnerulaceae.